GGAAGGAGGCGUUCCUCCAUCGCGAGCCAGCCACCAAGCUAUGACCAAAUUGGAGACAUUGUUUCUAUUACCUUCCGUUUUAGUAAGCUUAUGAAGAAAUUGCCCUGUAUCACCUUGCUCUGCAAUUGUUUCUGAUUCAUUUAGUUUUUCAGAGUCAUUAUUGUUAUUGUUCGGCGUUACCGCCCUUGUCUAGAGCUAUUGAAUGUUUUUGCUGCGAGAAUAUUACUAGAAUCGCUGCUGCUGCCACGAAUUGGGGAUAAAGGGGAUUCCUGCGUCAAAUCCUGCUAUUGCGACAUUGAGCUGCCAAGACUCAGAAAAAGGCAAGGGCUGGAAGCGAUUUGAGUUUGACAAGGAUGCGCCUCUUGAAGAUGAGGAAAUUGAAGUGGCUGAAGAUGAUGCUUCCUUGGUCAAGCAAAUUGGCCAGAGUUUCUAGUAUUCUAAAAUAGAGGCAAGAAAGGAGGAACAAAUCCAAGCUGCUCAUGACAAAGCCAUGUUUGGUGCUUCAGCACUUCCACCUCCUACCAGUACUGACAGUGAGUCUGAAAGGGAGAAUGAGAAAGAAGUUGAUAAAAAAGCUGUUGUUACAAGCCUCUUAAGUGAAACGGAGUGCUGAAAUGGUGACCAUAUGCUACCUUGAGGGCUCAAGAAUAUUUUGAUGCAUAGAGACACUAAUCUAUGUUAGAACUUUUAUGUUUUGGUUAAACUUUUAUGUUAGAACUUUUAUGUUUUGGUUGAACUAAUCAAUGUACUCACUAGCUAAUGUUAUUUUGUUUCAAGACAAUUUUAGCUAAAAGGAUCUUGUUUGACUUAUGUAUGUUUUUGCAUAUUAUAUACAAGUAAACUUGCUUAUUAAAA
Molecule: long non-coding RNA, 855 nt
Organism: Arachis duranensis
Lineage: Eukaryota; Viridiplantae; Streptophyta; Magnoliopsida; Fabales; Fabaceae
Exons: 5
Source: RefSeq, a predicted model, not a curated record